Klebsormidium nitens is the source of this 74-nucleotide non-coding RNA. NCBI's taxonomy places the organism in Eukaryota, Viridiplantae, Streptophyta, Klebsormidiophyceae, Klebsormidiales, Klebsormidiaceae. The record is from Rfam.
UCCUGGUUAGCUCAGUUGGCUAGAGCGCAAGGCUGUUAACCUUGAGGUCGCUGGUUCGACCCCAGCACCAGGAG